UGAUUGCGUUAGGGAUUGCAGUGGAGCUCUUUUUGUGGCUGGCCUUUUUGCCAGGCAUAAAAAAGCGGGAACGAAAAGCCCGACCCGCC
RNAcentral lists this small RNA (89 nucleotides) under Flavobacterium aquidurense. RNAcentral's name for it is "Flavo-1 RNA". It matches the Rfam family "Flavo-1 RNA". The record is from RNAcentral. Lineage: Bacteria; Pseudomonadati; Bacteroidota; Flavobacteriia; Flavobacteriales; Flavobacteriaceae.